RNAcentral lists this ribosomal RNA (253 nucleotides) under uncultured bacterium. RNAcentral describes it as "partial 16S ribosomal RNA". It matches the Rfam family "Bacterial small subunit ribosomal RNA", at positions 524 to 776 of the family's 1533-position model. The record is from RNAcentral.
UACGUAGGGUGCAAGCGUUAAUCGGAAUUACUGGGCGUAAAGCGUGCGCAGGCGGUUUUGUAAGUCUGACGUGAAAUCCCCGGGCUCAACCUGGGAAUUGCGCUUGUGACUGGCGUGCUGGAGUGUGGCAGAGGGAGGUGGAAUUCCACGUGUAGCAGUGAAAUGCGUAGAGAUGUGGAGGAACACCGAUGGCGAAGGCAGCCUCCUGGGCCAGCACUGACGCUCAUGCACGAAAGCGUGGGGAGCAAACAGG